GAUGAAGAACGUAGCGAAAUGCGAUACGUAGUGUGAAUUGCAGAAUUCAGUGAAUCAUCGAAUCUUUGAACGCACAUUGCACCUCUCGGUAUUCCGGGAGGUAUGCCUGUUAGAGCGUCAUUUGUACCCUCAAGCUCUGCUUGGUGUUGGGUGUUUGUUCCGCCUCUGUGUGUGAACUCGCCUCAAAACAAUUGGCAGCCGGCGUACUUGUUUCGGAGCGCAGCACAUUUUGCGAUCCAGAUCAACGUACAGCGGCAUCCAAGAAGCCUUAUUUAACGCUCUUGACCUCGGAUCAGGUAGGGAUACCCGCUGAACUUAAGCAUAUCAAUAAGCGGAGGA
RNAcentral lists this unclassified non-coding RNA (339 nucleotides) under soil metagenome. Its description in RNAcentral is "partial contains 5.8S ribosomal RNA, internal transcribed spacer 2, and large subunit ribosomal RNA". The stretch from base 1 to 120 matches the Rfam family "5.8S ribosomal RNA", at positions 35 to 154 of the family's 154-position model. The record is from RNAcentral.